Molecule: long non-coding RNA, 347 nt
Filed under: Mytilus galloprovincialis (Mediterranean mussel)
Lineage: Eukaryota; Metazoa; Mollusca; Bivalvia; Mytilida; Mytilidae
Source: RNAcentral
GUUUUGUAUGGUACGGAUGACACGAAUGAAAAUUUAAGUAUUGAUGGGUGUCUGUGGAUUUAUAAUAAAUAUCCGUUGUUAUAUGUCUGCCUGAUUUUAAGAUGAGGAUAUCCAAAAAUGGUAGUUGUGUGUCACUGGUUUCCAUGGUGAAUUUAAUCGACGGAUGUAAGGAGUUGAUAAGAUCUUUAAAUUUAUAUAAAUCCUUUUCUGAUCUGCUCCAAAAUAUUAUACAGUCAUCUAAAUAUCUUUUCCAAAAUUUAAUGACAUAAUCACAGAAAUUUUGAUCGAAUUGGACAGAUAUUUGUCGAUACAUCUGUUGCUCUAAGUAUCCCAUCACUAAAUUUGCG